This 468-nucleotide ribosomal RNA is filed under the name uncultured bacterium. RNAcentral's name for it is "partial 16S ribosomal RNA". It matches the Rfam family "Bacterial small subunit ribosomal RNA", at positions 28 to 507 of the family's 1533-position model. The record is from RNAcentral.
GACGAACGCUGGCGGCGUGCUUAACACAUGCAAGUCGAACGGAAAGGCCCUGCUUUUGUGGGGUGCUCGAGUGGCGAACGGGUGAGUAACACGUGAGUAACCUGCCCUUGACUUUGGGAUAACUUCAGGAAACUGGGGCUAAUACCGGAUAGGAGCUCCUGCUGCAUGGUGGGGGUUGGAAAGUUUCGGCGGUUGGGGAUGGACUCGCGGCUUAUCAGCUUGUUGGUGGGGUAGUGGCUUACCAAGGUUUUGAAGGGUAGCCGGCCUGAGAGGGUGACCGGCCACAUUGGUACUGAGAUACGGCCCAGACUCCUACGGGAGGCAGCAGUGGGGAAUAUUGCACAAUGGGCGGAAGCCCGAUGCAGCAACGCCGCGUGCGGGAUGACGGCCUUCGGGUUGUAAACCGCUUUCGCCUGUGACGAAGCGUGAGUGACGGUAAUGGGUAAAGAAGCACCGGCUAACUACGUG